UUCCGGUUGAUCCCGCCGGAGGUUACUGCUAUCGGUGUUCGACUAAGCCAUGCAAGUCAUAUGUUCCUCGUGAACAUGGCAUACUGCUCAGUAACACGUGGAUAACCUGCCCUUGGGUCUGGGAUAACCCCGGGAAACUGGGGAUAAUACCGGAUGACGCAUAUGUGCUGGAAUGCUUUAUGCGUAAAACGGAUUCGUCCGCCCAAGGAUGGGUCUGCGGCCUAUCAGGUAGCAGUGGGUGUAAUGUACCUACUAGCCAACAACGGGUACGGGUUGUGAGAGCAAGAGCCCGGAGAUGGAUUCUGAGACAUGAAUCCAGGCCCUACGGGGCGCAGCAGGCGCGAAAACUUUACAAUGCGGGAAACCGUGAUAAGGGAACACCGAGUGCCAGCAUCAUAUGCUGGCUGUCCAGAUGUGUAAACUACAUCUGUUAGCAAGGGCCGGGCAAGACCGGUGCCAGCCGCCGCGGUAACACCGGCGGCCCGAGUGGUGACCGUUAUUAUUGGGUCUAAAGGGUCCGUAGCCGGUUUGGUCAGUCCUCCGGGAAAUCUGAUAGCUUAACUGUUAGGCUUUCGGGGGAUACUGCCAGGCUUGGAACCGGGAGAGGUAAGAGGUACUACAGGGGUAGGAGUGAAAAUCUUGUAAUCCCAGUGAGACCACCUGUGGCGAAAGCGUCUUACCAGAACGGGUUCCACGGUGAGGGACAAAAGCUGGGGGC
Molecule: ribosomal RNA, 718 nt
Filed under: uncultured archaeon
Lineage: Archaea
Description: bacterial SSU rRNA
Rfam family: Archaeal small subunit ribosomal RNA
Source: RNAcentral